CGGGAAUAUUGGACAAUGGGCGCAAGCCUGAUCCAGCAAUACCGCGUGUGUGAAGAAGGCCUGCGGGUUGUAAAGCACUUUCAGUUGGGAAGAUAAUGACGUUACCAMCAGAAGAAGCACCGGCUAACUCCGUGCCAGCAGCCGCGGUAAUACGGAGGGUGCAAGCGUUAAUCKGAAUUACUGGGCGUAAAGCGUGCGUAGGCGGCCUGUUAAGUCRGAUGUGAAAGCYCCGGGCUUWACCUGGGAACUGCAUCUGAUACUGGGAGGCUAGAAUGUGGGAGAGGAGAGUGGAAUUUCCGGUGUAGCGGUGAAAUGCAUAGAGAUCKGAAGGAACACCAGUGGCGAAGGCGGCUCUCUGGRCCAACAUUGACGCUGAGGCAGCGAAAGCGUGGGUAGCAMACASGAUUAGAUACCCYGUAGUCCACGCCGUMAACGAUGUCAACUAGCCGCCGGCCUCACUCUAGAGGUCGGUGGUGCAGCUAACGCAUAAGU
This 492-nucleotide ribosomal RNA is filed under the name uncultured bacterium. RNAcentral describes it as "partial 16S ribosomal RNA". It matches the Rfam family "Bacterial small subunit ribosomal RNA", at positions 356 to 865 of the family's 1533-position model. The record is from RNAcentral.